CUCUCGGAUUCUCAUAUUUUUCAAAAAUCAACUAUUUUAUAUUCUUCUUUACCUUCUGUUUCCAUUCAUUCACGACAUCUUAGACAUACAUUAUUACAAUUGAUAUAAAGUCUACUGUGUUUCACAUACAAGUAGUGGAUAUGUUAAGAGACAAACUGGUGACCGUCCACUAAUUUGUUUACAUUUAAUAUUAUGAAUGACACCUGGUUGAUUUUGAAAGUAUGACACCUUGCAUAACAACCAUAUCAAACUCCGGCAGUGUGUUUUAUUUUGGUUUGUUCAUCUGCAUGGAUGGUAAAUCUAAUGAUGUAUCGCAAUCUUAAAAAGUAAAGCCUUCUACGUGCUGAAUUUUUUGAAGAGAUGCCGUGCGUAACACUACACACUGUAACAGGCCAUCUUUUAUGAAUGCCGCUGUCAACAUUUUUUUACUCAAUGGAUAUAAGGAUCUAUUCUGUAUGCAUUGCCUCACAAUACACUUUAUCAGCAUACAUUAAGGCAAUUAUAUUUCUAUUGGUUUUGAAAUUGCAAAAGCAAAAGAAAAAAAACAGAUUUUUGUACUUCUGAGAUGUAUGCUACAUCAAGUCGGAUUGAAUUUUAUGCGUCAUAUCUAGGCCAACAUACGAUUCCUUAUGUUGAAAUAGGUGUUUUCACAGCUAAUUUGUUUUUGGAGUCGUUUAAAUAACUGUCAAGUGUGUUCAUGCUUUCACCUUACUAGGCCCUAAUC
Hylaeus volcanicus is the source of this 724-nucleotide long non-coding RNA. RefSeq lists it as uncharacterized. The record is from RefSeq and is a predicted model, not a curated record. The transcript has 3 exons. Lineage: Eukaryota; Metazoa; Arthropoda; Insecta; Hymenoptera; Colletidae.